Molecule: non-coding RNA, 75 nt
Organism: Mycena rosella
Lineage: Eukaryota; Fungi; Basidiomycota; Agaricomycetes; Agaricales; Mycenaceae
Source: the annotation of a GenBank genome assembly
UCAGACGUGGUGUAACGUUAACAUGCCUUAUUGAAAUUGCCGAGGUGGUCCCGCGUUCGACUCCCGGUGUUUGAC